GGCCCCACUAGUCUGGGAUACCACUUGGAAACAGGUGCUAAUACCGGAUAAGAAAGCGGAUCGCAUGAUCAGCUUUUAAAAGGCGGCGUAAGCUGUCGCUAUGGGAUGGCCCCGCGGUGCAUUAGCUAGUUGGUAAGGUAAAGGCUUACCAAGGCGAUGAUGCAUAGCCGAGUUGAGAGACUGAUCGGCCACAUUGGGACUGAGACACGGCCCAAACUCCUACGGGAGGCAGCAGUC
Molecule: ribosomal RNA, 237 nt
Filed under: uncultured Lactobacillus sp.
Lineage: Bacteria; Bacillati; Bacillota; Bacilli; Lactobacillales; Lactobacillaceae
Description: partial 16S ribosomal RNA
Rfam family: Bacterial small subunit ribosomal RNA
Source: RNAcentral